RNAcentral lists this ribosomal RNA (1223 nucleotides) under metagenome. RNAcentral's name for it is "SSU rRNA". It matches the Rfam family "Eukaryotic small subunit ribosomal RNA", at positions 5 to 1244 of the family's 1831-position model. The record is from RNAcentral.
UGGUUGAUCCUGCCAGUAGUCAUAUGCUUGUCUAAAAGAUUAAGCCAUGCAUGUAUAAGCUAAAGCUGAUAAAUAGUGAAGCCGCGGACAGCUCAUUAAUACACUCAUAAUCUUCGCAAUGCAUCCAAUAUGAUAUCUGUGCUAAUUUUAGAGCUAAUACACGCAAUCAAGCCCCUUAAUUGGGGAGCAUUUAUUAGAACAAAACCGAUCGGGGUCUCCCCGCUGUUGGUGAAUCUGAAUAACUGUGCAGAUCGCAGGUCUUUGUACCGGCGACACAUUGCAAGAGUGAGUGCCUUAUCAACUGUCGAUGGUAGUAUAUAUGCCUACCAUGGUUAUUACGGGUAACGGAGAAUUAGGGUUUGACUCCGGAGAGGCAGCCUGAGAGACGGCUACCAGUUCUAAGGAACGCAGCAGGCGCGCAAAUUACACAAUGACAGUAAACUGUUGAUGUAGUGACAAGAGGUAACGGGGCGGUCCUCUAUGAGGCCCGUCAUUGUAUUGAGUAAAACUCAAAAUAUUUAACGAAACCAAUUGGAGGGCAAGUCUGGUGCCAGCAGCCGCGGUAAUUCCAGCUCCAAAAGCAUAUAUUAAAGUUGUUGCGGUUAAAAAGCUCGUAGUUGGAUCCAUGACCUCGGAGGGCGGUCCCCCACUGGGUGCGUACUGCUGCUCCGAGUCCUAUCUGUCAGUUUGUCUGUGUUGCCUUUAAUCGGGUGGCACAGGUGACUGACGUGUUUACUUUGAAGAAAUUAGAGUGUUUAAAGCAGGCGUUGAAUGCCUGAAUAGUGGUGCAUGGAAUAAUGGAAUAGGAUCUCGGUUCUAUUUUGUUGGUUCAAGAGCAUGAGAAAAUGAUUAAGAGGGACAGACGGGGGCAUUUGUAUUGCUGCGUUAGAGGUGAAAUUCUUGGAUCGUAGCAAGACAAACUACUGCGAAGGCAUUUGCCAAGAAUGUUUUCAUUAAUCAAGAUCGAAAGUUAGAGGUUCGAAGGCGAUCAGAUACCGCCCUAGUUCUAACCGUAAACCAUGUCGACUAGCUAUCUGUCAGCGUUAAUAAUGACCUGACAGGCAGCUUACCGGAAACGAAAGUUUCUCGAUUCCGGGGGUAGUAUGGUUGCAAAGCUGAAACUUAAAGGAAUUGACGGAAGGGCACCACCAGGAGUGGAGCCUGCGGCUUAAUUUGACCCAACACGGGAAAACUCACCCGGCCCGGACACCGUAAGGAUUGAC